This 497-nucleotide ribosomal RNA is filed under the name uncultured bacterium. Its description in RNAcentral is "partial 16S ribosomal RNA". It matches the Rfam family "Bacterial small subunit ribosomal RNA", at positions 28 to 507 of the family's 1533-position model. The record is from RNAcentral.
GAUGAACGCUGGCGGCGUGCCUAAUACAUGCAAGUCGAGCGAACAGACGAGGAGCUUGCUCCUCUGACGUUAGCGGCGGACGGGUGAGUAACACGUGGAUAACCUACCUAUAAGACUGGGAUAACUUCGGGAAACCGGAGCUAAUACCGGAUAAUAUAUUGAACCGCAUGGUUCAAUAGGGAAGGACGGUUUUGCUGUCACUUAUAGAUGGAUCCGCGCCGCAUUAGCUAGUUGGUAAGGUAACGGCUUACCAAGGCAACGAUGCGUAGCCGACCUGAGAGGGUGAUCGGCCACACUGGAACUGAGACACGGUCCAGACUCCUACGGGAGGCAGCAGUAGGGAAUCUUCCGCAAUGGGCGAAAGCUUGACGGAGCAACGCCGCGUGAGUGAUGAAGGUCUUCGGAUCGUAAAACUCUGUUAUUAGGGAAGAACAAAUGUGUAAGUAACUAUGCACGUCUUGACGGUACCUAAUCAGAAAGCCACGGCUAACUACGUG